UAGGGAAUUUUCCGCAAUGGGCGCAAGCCUGACGGAGCAAUGCCGCGUGGAGGAUGAAGUAUCUCGGUACGUAAACUCCUUUUCUGUGGGACGAUAUUUGACGGUACCACAGGAAUAAGUAUCGGCUAACUACGUGCCAGCAGCAGCGGUAAUACGUAGGAUACGAGCGUUAACCGGAUUUAUUGGGCGUAAAACGCGUGUAGGCGGUGCGGUAAGUCUAUUGUUAAAUCCUUGCGCUUAACGCAAGAACUGCAACGGAUACUGCCGUGCUAGAGAAGAUGAGGGGAAAACGGAAUUCCCGGUGUAGCGGUAAAAUGCAUUGAUAUCGGGAGGAACACCAGAAGCGAAGGCGGUUUUCUAGCAUCUUUCUGACGCUGAGACGCGAAAGCUAGGGUAGCGAAAGGG
RNAcentral lists this ribosomal RNA (405 nucleotides) under uncultured bacterium. RNAcentral's name for it is "bacterial SSU rRNA". It matches the Rfam family "Bacterial small subunit ribosomal RNA", at positions 355 to 776 of the family's 1533-position model. The record is from RNAcentral.